RNAcentral lists this long non-coding RNA (1176 nucleotides) under Homo sapiens (human). RNAcentral's name for it is "HSALNT0369571". The record is from RNAcentral. Lineage: Eukaryota; Metazoa; Chordata; Mammalia; Primates; Hominidae.
ACUAACGGCUGAGUCAGAAGUGUGCCUGAUGUUUCUGUGAAGAGAAGGAAGCCAGUGUGAUUGGAGUAGCAGAAGAGACUAGAAGAUGGGGAUGAAGAAGGAAUCGGGUGAGAGCAAAGGAAGGCCGUGAAGCCAUUGUCAGAAAUUUGUCCUUUAUCCUGACUGAGCAGAAGAAACACUGAAGGAUUUUGAGCAGAGGCAUGUCUUGAUUUCAUUUCAUUUUUAGAGGUAUAGAUAAUUCAGGCUGCUAUUUUGAGACUCGACUGAGAAGAGGUGUGUACUGGCACCCGUUUCCUACAGAUGUGUCCCUCCACUCUUUGAAGCCGAGGGCAAAAUCAUGCUGAAGACCUAGAAAUCCCACCAGUCUGAAGACCAGCUGCAACCACAAUGGGUUAGCCCUUUUCAGGAUGCCUCCUCUUCAGCAUAAAGCAGCCAGAAAGAUUGAUGACCAGCUUCCCCAGGAUUGAGGAACUGAUAAGUGGAAAGAGGGGACUGAAACCACCCCAAUUGUCCCGUAGAAUUGAUGUUUAUGAUCUUUUGGAAUAAACAUAGAUAUUGACCCUCAUGGUCUUAAAGAUUGAAAUGUACAUUGCCUGAGUUCCUUCCUCAGAAAACAAAAACUCAGGGCUCUGAGUAUCAAGGAACUGAAACUCACCAGGUCACCACAUCCAGACAAUGAGACAACAGACCCCUUAUUCAUCAUGAUUACUUCCUUCCCCCUCCGUUAUUCCCGUUUUCCCACAUGUAGCUCCAUUCCUUCCCUUUUAUAUAAACUCCCAAUUUUAAUUGAUUGGAGAGGACUUGAGACUUAUCUCUCAUCUCCUCAGCUGAUAUCACCUGAUUAAAGCCUUUCUUUCAUGGCAAUACUCAUUGUCUCAGUGACUGGCUUUCUGUACAGCAAGGAACAGGAUCUAGACCAAACCCCCUGGCAUUUUGGUAACAAGGGGAAUAAGAAACCUAGCCUUACUGACAGUUUAUUUCUUAAGUUGACUUUAUUAAAAGGUCAAGGAAAGAAAACUAGCCCAAAGAAUAAAUGAACAUACCCACUUUAUCACUUUGACAGGUUUAACAAAUUCCUAAUGAAGAAUAAUUUAUGUGUUUGCUCAGGCAUGGUGGCUUAUGUCUGUAAUCCCAGCAUUUUGGGGGGCUGAAGCAGGAGGAUUACCUGAGGCCAGA